Molecule: ribosomal RNA, 427 nt
Filed under: uncultured bacterium
Lineage: Bacteria
Description: partial 16S ribosomal RNA
Rfam family: Bacterial small subunit ribosomal RNA
Source: RNAcentral
UGGGGAAUAUUGGACAAUGGGGGCAACCCUGAUCCAGCCAUGCCGCGUGUGUGAAGAAGGCCUUUUGGUUGUAAAGCACUUUAAGCAGUGAGGAAGACUCCAUGGUUAAUACCCAUGGACGAUGACAUUAGCUGCAGAAUAAGCACCGGCUAACUCUGUGCCAGCAGCCGCGGUAAUACAGAGGGUGCAAGCGUUAAUCGGAAUUACUGGGCGUAAAGCGAGCGUAGGUGGCUUGAUAAGUCAGAUGUGAAAGCCCCGGGCUUAACCUGGGAACGGCAUCUGAUACUGUUAGGCUAGAGUAGGUGAGAGGAAGGUAGAAUUCCAGGUGUAGCGGUGAAAUGCGUAGAGAUCUGGAGGAAUACCGAUGGCGAAGGCAGCCUUCUGGCAUCAUACUGACACUGAGGUUCGAAAGCGUGGGUAGCAAACA